AGCCCAGACUCCUACGGGAGGCAGCAGUGGGGGAUAUUGGACAAUGGGGGAAACCCUGAUCCAGCGACGCCGCGUGAGUGAAGAAGUAUUUCGGUAUGUAAAGCUCUGUCAGCAGGGAAGAAAGAAAUGACGGUACCUGACCAAGAAGCCCCGGCUAACUACGUGCCAGCAGCCGCGGUAAUACGUAGGUGGCAAGCGCUAUCCGGAUUUAUUGGGUUUAAAGGGUGCGCAGGCGGAGGCACAAGUCAGCGGUAAAAGCGCGGGGCUCACCCCCGCGCCGCCGUUGAAACUGUGUCCCUUGAGGGCGCGAAGGGUAGGCGGAAUGCGUGGUGUAGCGGUGAAAUGCAUAGAUAUCACGCAGAACUCCGAUCGCGGAGGCAGCCUACCGGCGCGCAACUGACGCUCAUGCACGAAAGCGUGGGGAUCGAACAGGAUUAGAUACCCCGGUACGG
Molecule: ribosomal RNA, 452 nt
Filed under: uncultured bacterium
Lineage: Bacteria
Description: bacterial SSU rRNA
Rfam family: Bacterial small subunit ribosomal RNA
Source: RNAcentral